CUUGAACCACUGGCUCCCAGGAUCACACAUAUCAUCUCUACUCAAGCACUUGCAGGAAUUUGUGACAAUGUCGUCGCUGGAGUCUACAUCCAAGCAAACAGUGGUGCCAUUCCCCAGCUUAGUUGACAGGUACAUCUUUGAAUCUGAAAUGCUUUCCCAAUUUGACCCUGGGUUAGAACAUAUCACACUAAGUUUUGCAGGCUUCCCCAGCCCAACUGCUUGAAGGCAGAGGUAUGUUCCCUUUAUUAUUAAGAUCUUCUGGGGGGUGUAGCCCCAGGCUUCCGACUCGGUGCAUGGACCCAGCUUUAAUGGCUCAGACAGUGAUCCCCUUAGAACGCAAAGACCCGUAGAAGGAUGCAAGACCAUUUUAUAUGGUCUGGCAUGGGGUGCAUCCGGCCCUGCAUAGCACAUGAAAGCACACAAAAUUUAGCUAUGAAUAAUUAAGCAAAUUUGCCUUAUUUGCCUUGGCAACCAACCUUGAAAAGGAGAUUGGAGGGCUCAAAUCCUCUGGAAGAAGCUUGAGUUCCAAUUCAGCAAGGAGAAGAAGAAUAAGAAGAACCUCCCCAUCCUGGGAUUUGUAUUGCCUAGCUGUUGGAUUGAUGGAAGACUGAGCGUCUUACCAUUGUAUUCAUAUGUUGUGUUCUUACCAUUAUUUCUUUUGAUUUUGGGGGUUUAAUUAGAUUUGUUUGUUGGAUUUUGAUUUUCGAUAUGUUAUAAUCAAUAUUAUGUUUUUAAUUUCAUUAGUUAUGUUUUAUAAUAUUUGUAAGAGAAAAAAAUAAUAAUAAAAAAUAACACCAAGGCAAUUCUAAGCAUAAUAAAGACUAAUUUAAAUCAAUUUUUAUUAUUUUUACUUAAAUUAUGGUACAAGAUUUUACAUGAGUUUUGGAACUUACUUUUGACUUCUGUUGAAAGAAAAGAAAAGGAAAGAAAAAAGAAGUAAAUAUUGGUGAAAGAUAUGGUUUCUAAAUUGGAUUUAUUUUCAUGGAAACAAAUUUCAGAACACUAUAUAAAGUCGACUCUUAAUUCCUCCUCCUAUAAGACAUCAAAAUUCAAAACAAACCUACGUAAAUCGGGAAUUUAAAGAGGUUGGGUCUUUGUUAGAACCAUGCAACAGAUCAGAUUUUUAUUCUUCCUAUUUUCUAUGUGUUCUCACCAUUAUUUCUCUUCGUUUUAAGAGUUUAAUUAGAUUUGUUUGCGGGGUUUUGAUUUUCACUUGAUGUAAGCAUAUGUUGUUGAUUCUUUGAUUGAAGUUGUUCUUUUAAAUGCUUCUCAUCUCUUUGAUUUUUUUUUUUCUUUUUUGUAGGCUACUUUUGAUUUUAUUAUUAUUGUCAUUGCCAUUAGUGUUCACUAAUGGGUUCAGAAACAAAUGGUGGUUUUCUUGCAUGGAAACCAAAGAAACAUCCGUUGGAAUAGCACACAUCUGCAUUUUCUGAUGUUUUCAUGGGGAAUAAAGGGCAGAAGAUUUGUGUUAUUCGUGAUUUUCCAGACGGAUGCGGACCAUUCAUCAAGCCAAUUGUUUUGGCCUAUUCAAUGAAGUACAAACCCCCCUUCCUUUGUUUGUGAUUUUCCUUGGGGUUGUGGCCAUGGAAGGAUCACUAUGCAAAGCAAUGUGUUAUUGGAAGAGGAUGAGGAUGAUGCACAGAUAGAACCUUUUGAAGAUGCUGUGGAGUUGCAUUCUCCAAGAGUGUUAGAAAAUUUUUCCAAGACAGAAUUGGAUUGCUUCCUCAUGGAAGAAGAAGAUGAAAAUGAUUGAACAUUUUGGGAAUGCUUUGGACUCACCACUUCAUAAAGAGCUGGAAGAUUUUGUUCAAUCAAAAUCGCAAGUGUUGAUAAUUCAGAGGUGCUCGAAAAUUUUGCUCAAUCAGAAUCCAUCUGAGUUGAUGAUAGAAGACUUUGAUAGUGCUGGAUUGCAGAAGCCAUCAAAAACCUCAGAUCAUGAAAGUACUGAAUUAUCUAAGGAAGAUUUGGAAGAGAAUCAAAUACUAUACUCCUUGGAAAUUGAGAGGCUUUUGGGCUGCACAAGACUUUCCUUUGGGUUGUGGAAGAAAGCCUAGGGUGUUCAGGGAUGAUAUGGAAAACCAGAGCCAUGAAUUUCAAGUUGAAAUCCAGCCUGAGAUGAUGCUGAAAAUGGAAGAUACAGAGGAAAAGAGUGUUACUUCUUGCAACAGUAACUUCUAUCAACCAGAGGAGGUUGGAGGUGUGCAUGACAACGUGAGGACAGAGCUUCAAUUCCAAAGAGAAGAGCCCUUCAGUUCUAAACUUCCUAUGGGCAGGGUGGUUGUGCUGGCUUUGAUGGCUGCACCAAAUUGUCCAUGGAGGAAUGCAAAGAGGGUGCAGAAAUCUACAACAGAAACGUGGUGCCACUGGAGGCAAAAAGAUUCAUUAACUCAUAGAAGAAUGCUAUUUAAUUUGUAGAGAAAGAUGAGGAGGAGAAAACCCAAUUCAAUUUUUUCUUUUCUUUCCUUUAGGAUGUAAGCAGCAAUCAAGAGCUCAUCUUUUAUAUGCUACAUACUAUGUUAUGCGGGUAGUCGUAACAUUCUAGGGGAGACAAAGGUUAAGGUUUUACCUGUUAAACUCGCCUUGUAUGCAACAGCUUUCUCAAGGUAUUCACCAUUAAAUGUUGAACCACUGAAAUC
RNAcentral lists this long non-coding RNA (2636 nucleotides) under Vitis vinifera (wine grape). RNAcentral's name for it is "long non-coding RNA (VVIN_LNC000396)". The record is from RNAcentral. Lineage: Eukaryota; Viridiplantae; Streptophyta; Magnoliopsida; Vitales; Vitaceae.